RNAcentral lists this unclassified non-coding RNA (345 nucleotides) under soil metagenome. RNAcentral describes it as "partial contains 5.8S ribosomal RNA, internal transcribed spacer 2, and large subunit ribosomal RNA". The stretch from base 1 to 120 matches the Rfam family "5.8S ribosomal RNA", at positions 35 to 154 of the family's 154-position model. The record is from RNAcentral.
GAUGAAGAACGUAGCGAAACGCGAUAGGUAAUGUGAAUUGCAGAAUUCCGUGAAUCAUCGAAUCUUUGAACGCACAUUGCGCCUGCUGGUAUUCCGGGGGGCAUGCCUGUCCGAGCGUCAUUGCUGCCCUCAAGCACGGCUUGUGUGUUGGGCCUCCGUCCUCCUCCCGGGGGACGGGCCCGAAAGGCAGCGGCGGCACCGCGUCCGGUCCUCGAGCGUAUGGGGCUUCGUCACCCGCUCUUGUAGGCCCGGCCGGCGCUUGCCGACACAUCAAUCUUUUUUCCAGGUUGACCUCGGAUCAGGUAGGGAUACCCGCUGAACUUAAGCAUAUCAAUAAGCGGAGGA